GACGAACGCUGGCGGCGUGCUUAACACAUGCAAGUCGAACGGAAAGGCCCUGCUUUUGUGGGGUGCUCGAGUGGCGAACGGGUGAGUAACACGUGAGUAACCUGCCCUUGACUUUGGGAUAACUUCAGGAAACUGGGGCUAAUACCGGAUAGGAGCUCCUGCUGCAUGGUGGGGGUUGGAAAGUUUCGGCGGUUGGGGAUGGACUAGCGGCUUAUCAGCUUGUUGGGGGGGUAGUUGCUUACCAAGUCUUUGACGGGUAGCCGGCCUGAGAGGGUGACCGGCCACAUGGGGACUGAGAUACGGCCCAGACUGCUACGGGAGGCAGCAGUGGGGAAUAUUGCAGAAUGGGCGGAAGCCUGAUGCAGAAACGCCGCGUGCGGGAUGACGGCCUUCGGGUUGUAAACCGCUUUCGCCUGUGACGAAGCGUGAGUGACGGUAAUGGGUAAAGAAGCACCGGCUAACUACGUG
This 468-nucleotide ribosomal RNA is filed under the name uncultured bacterium. Its description in RNAcentral is "partial 16S ribosomal RNA". It matches the Rfam family "Bacterial small subunit ribosomal RNA", at positions 28 to 507 of the family's 1533-position model. The record is from RNAcentral.